This is a long non-coding RNA of Anas platyrhynchos (mallard), 1087 nucleotides long. RefSeq lists it as uncharacterized. NCBI's taxonomy places the organism in Eukaryota, Metazoa, Chordata, Aves, Anseriformes, Anatidae. The record is from RefSeq and is a predicted model, not a curated record.
CUCAGCCCAACCUUGGUUUUGCUCUGGAUGUGAGGGGUCUGUGCUGGUUUCCAAUUGGUUGCUGAUGCAACUGUUGCUGCAGCAAGGAAAGUUGCAGCUGGCGUUGAUGAAGCUUAAUGAAGUUUAAAGCAGGAGGCAAAGUUUGCUGAUGACCAUGGUUGCUUUCUUUGUCUUUGCUUCGAGUUUAUGCUGAAUUACCCAUAAGACAGUUAUGAAGAAGGAAAAUGAGAAGCACUUCUUUUGGGUGACAUGAAAUGCACCUCAGGCUACCAGAAUAAAUGAAUGUGUUCUACCCCUCCUAAAUAUCAAGUCAUGAACCUGAAAAGAAAUGCAAAAGCCACACCAAUUUUUGAGUCCUAGAGCCUUGAUUCUGGGGGUGGAGCCUAUAAAGCUGGACUUCUGGUAAUGAUCUGGGGAGUAGUUCCCAGGUUUAUUGAGCUGGUGUAUUAGAUUUCCUGCUGCAUGAGCAAGAAGAUUAUGGUGGCUUACGUCUAAGUGUACUUUUGGGAGGCAUUUUGUAUUUUCUCUAUAAAUAGUCUUUCUAAAACACAAUUGUGAAACUAUUAAUGUUUAUAUCGCAUUAUACAUCUCUCUAAGUUUACUGUGCUGAGUAUACAGUGUGGUAGCAAGAGGAAAUCUUUUUGUCUAAGAAACAUGUUCAGAAUUGUCAUUGUUAAAAGGCUACUAAAAGGCAGGAUUGUUAUAUUUAUCUUUUUAUCUGUAGGGUGUUUUUGGCUUGUUAUACUGAGCCAUUCCUCUUUUCAACAAUAGUAAAAUUGCAUCUCUUAAGGAGUUAAGCUCUUCAAUAGAACUUAAAAAUGUUGAACUUCCAGCAGAAGUGUGGGCAUCAUGGCUAUUCUUUUUGUGUCGGAAAAAUGUCAAAUGAGUCUACUGCAAUUAUAAGCUCUUCACAGAUAAACCUUGGACUUGGGGCUGAGAGCACGUGCAUAGUAUAACUUGUAUUUUACACUGAAUAUUUUUUUUUUUCUUAAGAAAAAGAAAGCAUUUAUUAUGUAAUUUAAAGAAAAAAGCAAUGGAAACAUCCUUCAUCCUAAAAUAAAUGGAAAAUAUAUGUAGGUGGAAGGAA